GGCAAGAUGGCCGAGCGGUCUAAGGCGCCACGUUAAGGUCUACCUUGAUAACAUUCUCCUCUCUCCUCCCCAAUGGAGAGAAAGAAUUCCGUGGUCCGAAAGGGCGUGGGUUCGAAUCCCACUCUUGUCA
This is a non-coding RNA of Rhypophila decipiens, 130 nucleotides long. Lineage: Eukaryota; Fungi; Ascomycota; Sordariomycetes; Sordariales; Naviculisporaceae. The record is from the annotation of a GenBank genome assembly.